GUUUUGGGGUAACGCGAACGGGUGGGAGGGUGUGUUGGGCUGCUUUUCGGUGGCGGACAACACUUGGAAACUACUGGGCCGUAGUUUUUUGUGUCGGGAUGGUGUCAUCUGUAANCCAAAGCUUAAUGUGCUGAAAGAUGGCUUCGCGUCUGAUUAGCUAGAUGGCGGGGUAACGGCCCACCAUGGCGACGAUCAGUAGCCGGUCUGAGAGGAUGAACGGCCACAUUGGGACUGAGAUACGGCCCAGACUCCUACGGGAGGCAGCAGUGGGGAAUAUUGGGCAAUGGGGGAAACCCUGACCCAGCAACGCCGCGUGAAGGAAGAAGGCCUUCGGGUUGUAAACUUCUUUUACCAGGGACGAACACAAUGACGGUACCUGGAGAAAAGGCAACGGCUAACUACGUGCCAGCAGCCGCGGUAAUACGUAGGUUGCAAGCGUUGUCCGGAUUUACUGGGUGUAAAGGGCGUGUAGGCGGAGAUGCAAGUCAGGAGUGAAAUCCCGGGGCUCAACCCCGGAACUGCUUUUGAAACUGUAUCCCUUGAGUGUCGGAGAGGCAAGCGGAAUUCCUAGUGUAGCGGUGAAAUGCGUAGAUAUUAGGAGGAACACCAGUGGCGAAGGCGGCUUGCUGGACGAUAACUGACGCUGAGGCGCGAAAGCGUGGGGAGCAAACAGGAUUAGAUACCCUGGUAGUCCACGCUGUAAACGAUGAAUACUAGGUGUGGGAGGACUGACCCCUUCCGUGCCGCAGUUAACACAAUAAGUAUUCCACCUGGGGAGUACGGUCGCAAGACUGAAACUCAAAGGAAUUGACGGGGGCCCGCACAAGCGGUGGAUUAUGUGGUUUAAUUCGACGCAACGCGAAGAACCUUACCAGGGCUUGACAUCCAACUAACGAAGUAGAGAUACAUUAGGUGCCCUUCGGGGAAAGUUGAGACAGGUGGUGCAUGGUUGUCGUCAGCUCGUGUCGUGAGAUGUUGGGUUAAGUCCCGCAACGAGCGCAACCCCUAUUGUUAGUUGCUACGCAAGAGCACUCUAGCGAGACUGCCGUUGACAAAACGGAGGAAGGCGGGGACGACGUCAAAUCAUCAUGCCCCUUAUGUCCUGGGCUACACACGUAAUACAAUGGUGGUAAACAGAGGGAAGCAAAACCGCGAGGUGGAGCAAAUCCCUAAAAGACAUCUCAGUUCGGAYUGCAGGCUGCAACUCGCCUGCAUGAAGCUGGAAUCGCUAGUAAUCGCG
Molecule: ribosomal RNA, 1240 nt
Filed under: uncultured bacterium
Lineage: Bacteria
Description: bacterial SSU rRNA
Rfam family: Bacterial small subunit ribosomal RNA
Source: RNAcentral